CCCCACAGGAACUUCUGCAGGUGUGACUGAACUCUGAACGUGAGCUACAGCAUGGAAGCCAAAGGAGGAACCGUGAAAGCUGCUUCAGGAUUCAACGCAACUGAAGAUGCCCAGACCCUGAGGAAGGCCAUGAAAGGCCUCGGUACUGAUGAAGAUGCCAUUAUCGGAAUCUUAGCCUACAGAAACACCGCCCAGCGCCAGGAGAUCAGGAGUGCCUACAAGAGCACCAUUGGCAGGGACCUGAUUGAGGACUUGAAGUCGGAGCUGAGCAGCAACUUUGAGCAGGUGAUCCUGGGGCUGAUGACACCCACAGUGCUGUAUGACGUACAGGAGCUGCGGAGGGCCAUGAAGGGAGCUGGCACGGACGAGGGCUGUCUGAUUGAGAUCCUGGCCUCUCGUACCCCUGAGGAGAUCCGUCGAAUCAACCAGACAUACCAGCAGCAAUAUGGAAGGAGCCUUGAAGAGGACAUCUGCUCUGACACAUCCUUCAUGUUCCAGCGAGUACUGGUGUCCCUGUCGGCGGCUGGCAGGGAUGAAGGAAAUUACCUUGAUGAUGCUCUUAUGAAGCAGGACGCCCAGGUCUUUCAACACUCCUGGAUUCCAGAUCUCUUCCUCACACUGAGGACACAACAAGGAUCCUAGGGAAGCACCAAGCCUCCCCCUCCUCUCUCUCUCUCUCUCUCUCUCUCUCUCUCUCUCUCUCUCUCUGUGUGUGUGUGUGUGUGUGUGUGUGUGUGGCCAAGGAACGGAACCCAGGACGUGCCCCACGCUAUGCAAGUGCUCAGCGCUGAAUGUCACAGAGGGAAGGAGCUGCCUCUGCUCUUCAUACUUCCCUAAAGAGAACAUGAGGUGGGACCUGUGAACACCAUGUGACUUUCAAAAGAGAGCUGCUGCCCUGGCACUCAGCACACUGACGGCUGUCCUGACAUUUGUCCCUGUGGCCAAGUAGCAUACAAACCCUGGGCCUUUUGUAAAGCCCAGCAUGCCCACCUAGUCUUUCUUAGGCAUACCAUUGAAUCAUUGAAUCCUUUUUUUUUUUUAAGAUUUACUUAUUUUGUGUAUCUGAGUACACUGUAGCUGUCUUCAGACACACCAGAAAAGGGCAUCAGAUUCCAUUACAGAUGGUUGUGAGCCACCAUGUGGUUUCUGGGAAUUGAACUCAGGACCUCUGGAAGAAGAGUCAGUGCUCUUAACCACUGAGCCAUCUCUCCAGGCCACCAUUGAAUCCUGAUACCAACCUUAGGACUUUAACCCCCAUUUUACAGGAACUGUAUGAGGCUGGAGAGAAGAGAUGGGGGACAGACGAGGUGAAAUUCCUAAGCAUUCUCUGUUCCCGGAACCGGAACCAUCUGCUCCACGUGUUUGAUGAAUACAAAAGAAUCUCACAGAAGGACAUUGAACAGAGCAUUAAGUCUGAGACAUCUGGAAGCUUUGAAGAUGCCCUGUUGGCUAUAGUGAAGUGCAUGCGGAGUAAACCUUCAUAUUUCGCUGAGAGACUUUAUAAAUCCAUGAAGGGCUUAGGCACUGAUGACAACACCCUCAUCAGAGUGAUGGUCUCAAGAGCAGAGAUUGACAUGCUGGACAUCCGGGCGAGCUUCAAGAGGCUCUACGGGAAGUCUUUGUACUCUUUCAUCAAGGGUGACACUUCCGGAGACUACAGGAAGGUUCUGCUCGUUCUCUGUGGAGGAGAUGAUUAACACAAGACGCCGCAGGACAGAAGGCUUCUGAACACUGAUCUUUUUUUUUUUUUUAACUUCAUUUUUCUGCACUGCUAUUAACAUUAUCUCAAAUGCUUAUUUCCAAUUAAAACGCCUCCAGUUGCCUCCUGGGAUGCAGACUAUGUUAUUAUCGUCUAUAAUUAGUCAUUUUGAUGCCUUAAACUUGUACUUUCAAAGCUUUCAAGACAUACAUGGAAAUUUAGAAUUAGAAAUUGAAAUGUGCUCCACGUCUUUAUCAGAUUAUUUCCUCGUUUGUGUUUUGUAGAGGUUGAAUGUACUAAAUCCUUUUAGAUUUUCUUUUCAGUACAAAUUUUACAGAUCAGAAGCCAUUUUCUUCCCUAGGAAGCCAGUCAUUUCUUCACGUGGGACUGUCAGCAUCUCUUACUAAGAUUAGCCAUCUAGAUUCUUAUUUUAGACAGAUCCAAAGUUCUCACAAGCCCCCUUUCUUUGGCUCUGCCUAUCAUCGUAGUUGACAGUUGCUGAAUAUGGUGGGGCUUGCUUCAUCUCCUUCUACCCUGAGACCAUUUUCUUCCCGGGAAGUGUAUGAAACAGAGUUACCAACUCAUCAAACAAGUUCAAUCUCAAGUGUGGCUCAGCAGAUCCCGUGUGCUCGGUCGUUCCUCGUGCUGAACAUUCCUCAGUCUUAGGGUCACUGUCCUAAUCUUGCUCAAAGUGACAGUCAAGAGUGGCCUCAGCCAAGGUUGCUCUGAUAAUGCAAUGCUCUGGGUGUGGCUGACCUCAGAAGAGUUUUUCUGCUAAAAAUAAUUAAUCUCGUUAGACUGUUUAUUUGAUCCCCACUGUGCCUUUUUAAUCUUAUUCAGAAACUGUGCUUGCAUUUAAUCAUGAAGUUUGGUUUGUAUACAACAUGAGACAUUUUUAAUUAAAAUGGUGGCUUUAAAGGGG
Mus musculus (house mouse) is the source of this 2621-nucleotide RNA transcript. It is a transcript of the gene named annexin A4, with no coding region annotated. The transcript has 13 exons. Lineage: Eukaryota; Metazoa; Chordata; Mammalia; Rodentia; Muridae. The record is from RefSeq and is marked validated.